Molecule: non-coding RNA, 30 nt
Filed under: Homo sapiens (human)
Lineage: Eukaryota; Metazoa; Chordata; Mammalia; Primates; Hominidae
Source: RNAcentral
UCUGAAAAGGAGGCACCUCGUGAUGGCAGA